AACGAACGCUGGCGGCAUGCCUAACACAUGCAAGUCGAACGAGACCUUCGGGUCUAGUGGCGCACGGGUGCGUAACGCGUGGGAGCCUGCCCUUAGGUUCGGAAUAACUCCCCGAAAGGGGUGCUAAUACCGGAUAAUGUCUUCGGACCAAAGAUUUAUCGCCUUUGGAUGGGCCCGCGUUGGAUUAGCUAGUUGGUAGGGUAAAAGCCUACCAAGGCGACGAUCCAUAGCUGGUCUGAGAGGAUGAUCAGCCACACUGGGACUGAGACACGGCCCAGACUCUUACGGGAGGCAGCAGAGGGGAAUAUUGGACAAUGGGCGAAAGCCUGAUCCAGCAAUGCCGCGUGAGUGAUGAAGGCCUUAGGGUUGUAAAGCUCUUUUACCCGGGAUGAUAAUGACAGUACCGGGAGAAUAAGCUCCGGCUAACUCCGUG
Molecule: ribosomal RNA, 433 nt
Filed under: uncultured bacterium
Lineage: Bacteria
Description: partial 16S ribosomal RNA
Rfam family: Bacterial small subunit ribosomal RNA
Source: RNAcentral